GCAUUUUGGCAGCACAUAUAUUAAAAUUAGAAUGAUACAGAGAAGAUUAUCAUGGCCCCUGUUUAAAAAAAAAUUAAAAAACACCAAGUGUUU
This 93-nucleotide small nuclear RNA is filed under the name Prolemur simus (greater bamboo lemur). The record is from RNAcentral. Lineage: Eukaryota; Metazoa; Chordata; Mammalia; Primates; Lemuridae.